Small nuclear RNA from Herpailurus yagouaroundi (jaguarundi), 103 nucleotides. The record is from RefSeq and is a predicted model, not a curated record. NCBI's taxonomy places the organism in Eukaryota, Metazoa, Chordata, Mammalia, Carnivora, Felidae.
AUGCUCACUUUGGCAGCUCAUAUACUAAAAUUAGAAUGAUAGAAGAUUAGCAUGGUCCCUGCACAGGGAUGACACGCAAAUUCAUGAAGCAGUUCAUAGUAAA